This is a long non-coding RNA of Sinocyclocheilus anshuiensis, 430 nucleotides long. RefSeq lists it as uncharacterized. The record is from RefSeq and is a predicted model, not a curated record. NCBI's taxonomy places the organism in Eukaryota, Metazoa, Chordata, Actinopteri, Cypriniformes, Cyprinidae. The transcript is spliced from 3 exons.
CCCCAGCAGAGGAUGUUAUAUAGGAUGACUGAACGUUUCUGAGCUCUCCUGGUCCUCAGAGAUCAGCGCUGUGCUUUUAUUGGAUUAACGUUGGUUAAUCCGUGUGCACCGUAUGGAGUCUCCGGGACCUGCGUGCAGGACGGUUCUGAAUGUUUUCAUGGCAGACUCUCCGGUUACCGGGUGUCUGUGGGGUUAAGCUGCACCCAUGAGCCAGUGUGGGCCAGUCAGACGGGCGUAAGGAGUUUAUAAUAUUACCUUCACCAUAUGGACCGUCUCACAGGUCUGCGGGUGUCCAGAAGAUCAUGACGGAGGAGCAUGCAACAGGCGGCACAUGCCUGUCCCAAUCAGACCGCAGGAUGACUGUAGGAGCAGAGGGCGGGGCUUAUGUCACCAAGGAGGCGUGGCCUACACAACCACGCCCUUUAUCACA